UUUCCGUAGGUGAACCUGCGGAAGGAUCAUUAUUGUAUAAUUGAGGUUCGAGGUCGGUCUUUGACCCGAAUGCUCGUGCACGCCCGAGUGCCCUCCCUCACAUCCAUUUCACCCCUAUGUGCAUCACCGUGCGGUUCUCGCUUUUGUUUGUCCGUAGGGUGGCUAAUGUUUUCAUACCAUUGUUUUAUGCAGCGCUUAAUGUAAUUUUUGUUCUACUUUUCACGCAAUCAAUACAACCUUCAACAACGGAUCUCUUGGCUGCCGCUCCGAAGAACAACC
RNAcentral lists this unclassified non-coding RNA (279 nucleotides) under plant metagenome. RNAcentral's name for it is "partial contains small subunit ribosomal RNA, internal transcribed spacer 1, and 5.8S ribosomal RNA". The record is from RNAcentral.